RNAcentral lists this ribosomal RNA (869 nucleotides) under uncultured beta proteobacterium. RNAcentral's name for it is "bacterial SSU rRNA". It matches the Rfam family "Bacterial small subunit ribosomal RNA", at positions 1 to 870 of the family's 1533-position model. The record is from RNAcentral. Lineage: Bacteria; Pseudomonadati; Pseudomonadota; Betaproteobacteria.
AUUAGAGUUUGAUCAUGGCUCAAAUUGAACGCUGGCGGAAUGCUUUACACAUGCAAGUCGAACGGCAGCACGGGGGCAACCCUGGUGGCGAGUGGCGAACGGGUGAGUAAUACAUCGGAACGUGCCCAAUCGUGGGGGAUAACUACGCGAAAGCGUAGCUAAUACCGCAUACGAUCUACGGAUGAAAGCGGGGGAUCGCAAGACCUCGCGCGAAUGGAGCGGCCGAUGGCAGAUUAGGUAGUUGGUGGGGUAAAGGCUCACCAAGCCGUCGAUCUGUAGCUGGUCUGAGAGGACGACCAGCCACACUGGGACUGAGACACGGCCCAGACUCCUACGGGAGGCAGCAGUGGGGAAUUUUGGACAAUGGGCGCAAGCCUGAUCCAGCCAUUCCGCGUGCAGGAUGAAGGCCCUCGGGUUGUAAACUGCUUUUGUACGGAACGAAAAGCGCUGAGUUAAUACCUCGGCGUCAUGACGGUACCGUAAGAAUAAGCACCGGCUAACUACGUGCCAGCAGCCGCGGUAAUACGUAGGGUGCAAGCGUUAAUCGGAAUUACUGGGCGUAAAGCGUGCGCAGGCGGUGAUGUAAGACAGAUGUGAAAUCCCCGGGCUCAACCUGGGAACUGCAUUUGUGACUGCAUCGCUGGAGUGCGGCAGAGGGGGAUGGAAUUCCGCGUGUAGCAGUGAAAUGCGUAGAUAUGCGGAGGAACACCGAUGGCGAAGGCAAUCCCCUGGGCCUGCACUGACGCUCAUGCACGAAAGCGUGGGGAGCAAACAGGAUUAGAUACCCUGGUAGUCCACGCCCUAAACGAUGUCAACUGGUUGUUGGGUCUUCACUGACUCAGUAACGAAGCUAACGCGUGAAGUUGACC